AUCUGUUUUUCACCCUGGACCUGGAGCCAGUAACCCUCAAACCAACCCAAGGCGUGUACCCAGAGCCUGAAGGCGGAGUCAGGACCUCUGCUGCAAAUGUUUCUCCUUCACCGAAGCUAAUGAAAAUUAGAAGGUGAAAAAAAUGUACUCGGGAUGAAAUGUUCUCUGAGCUCCCGCUGUCCUCCCACACUGACAGAGCACAGCAGAAUGCAUGGAGGCAGAUAAUGUCAGAGUGCAGGAAAGCACAAUAUGAACGCGAGGAAAGGUGGUGGGCGGAAGAGAGUAAGUGGCGAGCUGAAGAUGAUAGGUGGCGUCAGCUUGCUGACAGAAGGCAAGAGUCGAUGCUCAGGCUGCUGGAAGAUCACUCAUAUGCUCCAGCGUAUGGUUGAGCUGCAGGAAAGGCAGCAGGAGCACAGACCACCACUACAGCCCUGUGUAACCAACAGCUCUCCUCCCCAAGUUCCAUAGCCUCUUCACCCAGAUGCCCAAGAAUGCGGUGUGGGGGGUCUCUGGCCACCCAGCCACUCCACCCCAGAAGAUUGCCCAAGCAACAGAAGGCUGGCCUUCAAUAAGUUUUAAAGUGCAGUGUGGCCUUGUCCUUCCCUCCACCCCCACCCCUCUCGGGCUACCUUGGCAGUUAUCCCCCUAGUUGUGUGAUGAAUUAAUAAAGAAUGCAUGAAUGUGAA
Molecule: long non-coding RNA, 686 nt
Organism: Malaclemys terrapin pileata
Lineage: Eukaryota; Metazoa; Chordata; Testudines; Emydidae
Exons: 2
Source: RefSeq, a predicted model, not a curated record